UACGGGGGGGGGCAAGCGUUUGUUCGGAAUUACUGGGCGUAAAGGGCUCGUAGGCGCCAACUAAGUCAUACGUGAAAUCCCUCGGCUUAACCGGGGAACUGCGUCUGAUACUGGAUGGCUUGAGUUCGGGAGAGGGAUGCGGAAUUCCAGGUGUAGCGGUGAAAUGCGUAGAUAUGCGGAGGAACACCGAUGGCGAAGGGCAAUCCCCCUGGGCCUGCACUGACGCUCAUGCACGAAAGCGUGGGGAGCAACAGG
Molecule: ribosomal RNA, 255 nt
Filed under: uncultured bacterium
Lineage: Bacteria
Description: partial 16S ribosomal RNA
Rfam family: Bacterial small subunit ribosomal RNA
Source: RNAcentral